RNAcentral lists this long non-coding RNA (9499 nucleotides) under Nicotiana benthamiana. Its description in RNAcentral is "long non-coding RNA (NBEN_LNC015737)". Lineage: Eukaryota; Viridiplantae; Streptophyta; Magnoliopsida; Solanales; Solanaceae. The record is from RNAcentral.
UAUAUACGAUUGCUUUUCUUCUAGCUCUUAAAGAGUUAAGAAGAAGGCAAGCCUCGCGCCUAGGGGUUUUCAAAACCAAACCGAAAUCGAAAAUCGAACCGAAACCGAAGCUUAAUGGCUUAUUGGUAUCUGGUUAACGAUUUAGUGGACGGGGAACAGAUUGAAAUUUUUUAUUGACAGAUUAUCGAUUUGGGGGCGGAUUAUUCAAUUAUCUUCACAGAUAAUCAGUUAAUCCAUUAAGAACAUAUACACAUAUAAAAUUUAUCUUUAUCUAUAUAUAUAUAUAUUAAAUAAUCAAAAACCCUUAUUUGACAACACUGGAGUAGUUAUAAAACCUAAUUUACAAAACCAGUGUAGUUACAUAUUUUUCCUUUCUUGUAAAAUAAAUUGAUCGGACAAAAACUUGUUCGGGAACAACUAGCUAGCAGUGAACUCCUAGAUACCUCACCCCAAGCAGAAGAAAUAAAACAAAUAAGCAACAGAAAGGAACCAUAUGCUUACUCUCACGGGCAGUAGACUAUCUGGAGGCCUCGAGGAACGAACUUGAGCAAGUUCACUAAUUUCAGUCAGUUUCCAAAUUUUGGAUUUCUCCAGCUCAGCAGAAAUCCUGGAACAGCCAAUUGGAAAAAUCUUUCACAUGGAUUAAGACCAAUGUGCAUAAUCAUAAAUAAAAUUCUAAACAGAUGAUCUAACCAUCACGGUGUCUCUAUUGCUUCGUCCUUCUAAGUACGUUGACCAUUUAAAUAUAUAGAGACUAAAUUUUAUUUUAUUUUGAUUGAAUUAGGCUGAUAAACUGCCCGAUAAGAGCUAAACCGGUACUAAUCUAUUCGAUAUCUUAUCGGGUGGCUAGCGGAUUAAUAUAUUUAAAAGCCGAUAAUCGAUAAGCCAAACCGUUAAGAGUAAAUAACUGUCCAAUCCGCCCGAUAAGCAACACUACUCGCGCAGUCGUCGCUCGCUCGGCUUCGGCUAUUUGGAUUUGGUCAAAGAUCGAUUGACUGAUUACUCUUUUUUAAAUUUGCCGCAAUCUUUCUAGUGUGUUUUACAGUUCGCUGUUUAUCAGCGUUUUUGGUGCGAACACUCUGGUGACAUACUGUUUCUACUGAUCGGCCUUUCCUCUCUCUCAAGUACCAUACGUUCAGUUCUAAUUAUGUUAUGAACCCUUCUGGCUGAUUCUUUUGUUUGUUUGAUUUUUCCAGUGUACUUCAAGGAAGCGUCAGCGAGCAUUGCUUUCACCAGUGCAAAACAGCCCCAAUCAUAAUAGUUCCUGGAAAAGGUACUUUGCUUCACUUGUUUUGUUUUUCUAAAUUUUUCUUUUGGGUUGUUUGUGAACAAAACGUAAUUUUGUUAAGCAGAAGCAGGGGAGGAAUCUGUAAUUUAAUGGGAACUUGCCAAGUUUGAGUAGUGCUGAUGAUCAUGCAGUAUGGCAGCAGCUUAUUUGCUAUUCACAGGACAUUCCUUCAUAUUGUUGUAGAAGAAAGUUCUGCUAUUAUUGAUGUAAAUUUUGUUUUCUGGUGUAUUCUAGAUCUACUCUGUUUAUUUCAGUAUUCAUGAUUUGUUUGUUGAACUUCAACUACAAUAUGUUGUUGAUAUGAUUAAGAAUUCACUACAUUUGUUGUUAUGAAUAGAAAAUUACAUGAACUUUUUGUUCGCAUUUUUUUCAAUUUAUUUUAAUUAUUUUAUUUUUAUCCAUGUCUGAUUUUGUUCUUUUAAAACUAUUGUAAUGAAUAAAACUUGCCUUGCUUAUGUCACCAGUCAGUUCAGUCACCUAUAUUUUAAUUCUUUUUGAGUUAGAAUUAAAUAUUUUCGAGUGAUCCAAGCUAGUUUUAUAUGCGUUUUAGUUAUGGUUACUAGUUAAUGUACAAGGUUCGAUUUGUCAUGCCAAACGCAUUUACUGCAAAUAGGAAAGCUGAAAAUUGUACUCCUAUAGUUAUGGGUAACUGGGCUUGCUCUAAUAUUUGUGCUUACCCUUAUAAUUGGAUAUGUAUACGUGAUGUUAAAGAUAUGUGAUAUGGCUUGAUACAAAUUUAAAAAAAGAUUAAUAUUAAAAUUAAUAAUAAGAAAAUAAAUACAAACCGCACAAAUUGAAAAGCCUUAACUUUGGAGUUUGAUCACCUUGGAGUCAAGAAAUGCCUCAACUAAUGUCGGAACAGAAUAACAAGAUGGUAAGAACUAGAAAUAACAAUUUAUUGCUUUUUGGUGCAUAUUAUAAUGUGUGUUUACAAAUGAUCAAACCUCGCUUUAUAUAGUAGGGGAGCCCUACUCUUAAUACAAUUCUAUAAAAGAUAAAAAAAAUCUCAUUAUUUGCUAAUUAGUCGGCCUCUCCUUGAUACAUGCUUACGUACAUGACAUCUGUCUACAAGUCUCUGAGAAUACUUUUCAUAAAGGUCGGGAUAGAGUCCCGCCAUACCAAACGAUACACAUCUAACACAUAGUAACUAAACAAGCAACUCCGAAGCAAAUGGAGCGCACCAACAUCUUUCGCUGAGUUGAUAGCCUACUUGGAGGACUCUCUUUUCCGAGAUACCACAUCAGCCCUAUCACCACUAAUCCUAGGUUAUCAGGGGACGCUAGGCAUCGGAAUUCAAAAAGUUCUCUUUUUUUUUGUCAGCGGAUUUCGCUCAUCAAGUUCUUCUUUGAUCUGCCGCUGUUAGAACACCACAAUAUUCGUCUUUUUGGGGUUAAUGUUCUCAAUGGUGAAUCGAUCAUUCGAUAUCCUUUUCCUUCUGCGACGGAAUGGAAGAAAAGUAAUGAAACCUGCGAUGGCUACUGAAUAACCUCCUUUUACUUUCUCAAUAAUAUUCUCAAUGGUGAUGACCUGUCUAACGGGACGUGCGGGCAUGAAACAACGUCCCCAGGCAAAAAGGGACGUCAGUACCAAUAAAGUACUGAGUAUGUAAGGCACAAAAAUAAGUACAUAAUAGACAUGGAGAAAAUAUUGAGUAAAUGACUCCACCUAUAAGUCUGAAUAACUUCGUAAAUCAUGAAAUAAUUAUAGUAUCAUUCAUACGCGUAUGAAUGUCAUGUCAUACAUAUGUACAUAUUUCAUAAUAUCAUCAGCCUCUAAGGGCGUUGCACCGUAUAAUCUUGGCUACUGUGGGCAAAAUCAUCAAUGUAUACCAGCUGACCGGGUGGUGGUGCAUAUAUAACGCCAUAAUAUAUAUAUAUAUAGAUAAGCCAAACCAUUAAGAGUAAAUAACUGUCCAAUCCGCCCGAUAAGCAACACUACUCGCGCAGUCGUCGCUCGCUCGGCUUCGGCUAUUUGGAUUUGGUCAAAGAUCGAUUGACUGAUUACUCUUUUUUAAAUUUGCCGCAAUCUUUCUAGUGUGUUUUACAGUUCGCUGUUUAUCAGCGUUUUUGGUGCGAACACUCUGGUGACAUACUGUUUCUACUGAUCGGCCUUUCCUCUCUCUCAAGUACCAUACGUUCAGUUCUAAUUAUGUUAUGAACCCUUCUGGCUGAUUCUUUUGUUUGUUUGAUUUUUCCAGUGUACUUCAAGGAAGCGUCAGCGAGCAUUGCUUUCACCAGUGCAAAACAGCCCCAAUCAUAAUAGUUCCUUUAUGUGACUAAGUUAUGGUUCAAAAACAUGACAAUACCUGAAAUUAUUGUCCAUGAAUAUGAACUGGGCUCCCUGAGUACUAAGCUCUUCCGAUUCCUAUCCCCAUUUUCCUUUCUAUGUGUGCUGAGUUUGAGACUUCUGUCUGACAAUGUCCUAAUCACUGUCCAGCCCAUGGUAUGAUCUGCAAUAGGUCUUACUCUUAAUUGUUUGGCUGACAGGUUGGUCAGGGGUAUGCCAAUAUACCAUAUGGUUGGGUUUGACCACCAACCUGCCUUGGCACUCCCUAACCCCCUCUAUUGCACUAGCACUUGUUCCUAGAAUCUAUGUUCUGACCCCCUCUUGUGAUCCUUGCCUUGGGACCCAUAGGCUCCCUAUGAACUUGGAUACUUUAGGGCUGACCCUUCCACACUGCACUCUAAUUCAGUUAAAAUUGAUAUCUGGGGUGUAUGCACUGCCUGGAGUUCCUGAAACUCCUUGGAGCUUUGAAACACCCUAGAUAAGAGAAGGAUUUGGAAAUCUUGAUACCGGAAGUGGUUCAUCUCAUAUUGUUUGACACUAAGUCUGAAUUAGGCUUCUCCGAUGUAGUUGUAGCUUCUAAUGUAUUUUAACAUUUAGUUUGAUUUAUUGGGCUGUAAUAAGUUGUAAUAAAGUCAUUGGUAUUUAGAAUAAAAUAAUAAGGGGUUUACUUUUAUGCACAAGGGUAGAUACCAUGCCUAUAGAGGUUAACAUCUAAUUUCUUCUGCAAAUACACAUGUAGAUAUCAUGUCUAUAGGCUCUUGAUUUCUGCAUAUAUAAACAUCAUUAGGCAAACCAUUUGUAGGUUAAUAAUAAAGAUGCAUAUAUACGUCACGUGCCUUAGACAUAUGUUAACGUCAGAAAAGGUGCUAAAAUCAGUAAACAUAUUGUAAUAAUGCCUAUAGGAAAUCUUGAAAUUGAACAACCUUAUUUGUUUAAAACGGUAUCAAUUGCUGGAACUCGUAUUUAUUUCACUAAAACUUGUAAUCUUCUGCCUCUUUUCUGAAACACACUAAAACUGGUAAAUGCAGGCGUACAUUUGGACCAAGCUUAUUUGCUGCUAGGACAACGCGAGCUGGUGAACUGUUCGAGGGAAAUAAAGGUGCCAAAUCUGGGGAAGGUUCUUCUGCGACCAAAUAGUUAGGAGUCUUUUAUUUUUCUUUAAUAAUGUAAUAAGACCAAUGGCCAGUAGUGACAUUGUACUUUCUGUUAUUUAGUGUCGUUUUGGAUUCGUCUUAUUUUUUUCAAUUAAAUGAGGCAUUUAGCAUAAUAAGUUCUCCAAAACUAUUUUUCGCUAGGUCUACCUCGGGCACAAUGAGGCACCCAAAUUAGGACGUGAUUUAUAUUGUUGCACAAUGUGUUUAAACACUGCAAAAUUUUCUUCUCAUAAUCCGCACUGACUUAUUACAUUUUUGUUUUUCAUUUAUUUUGAUUCCCCUCCCCAAAGGUUAGUUCGUGCAUUCUGGCAUCAUCAUCAUACAAUACGAAUCCUAGGGACCUCCUCCUCCUCCAAGUCUUAUCAGAAAUAAGAACAAGACAAAAAUGGAAGAUGUGAACACCAUAAGAAACGUGAACUUGGGUAAACAGACAGAGGCUACACAGGGUAGGAAGAUCUAUAAGGAAAGUGCCGCCCAACUUGAGCAGAAAUUAUUGAAGUUCCGAGAAGAACUGGAUCGGGUUUGGAACUUGGCCAACUUGUCAUUGUCCCUUACCACUCCCGAUAUCAACUUUCCCAACACCCAAAAUCCCGCACCGAACACCCCACUACAACUGAAACAACCCCCUCAUCCUCAACACUGCAACACAUGUCACAUUCCCAACAACACUCCAUUACUCAUUCCUGAAGCCUUGAACACCAAAAAUGAUCGUACCCACUAACACUCCCAUAUAUGUGGAGACCAUACCCCACUACACUCAACCAAUCUCAAAUGCACAUGAGUCUGAUGACAAAGACUAUCUUAUCAGAAACUUGGUCGCGGAGCUCAAGAAGUUGACCAGUCGAGUCUAGGGCUUUGAAGGAAACAAAGGUAUUAUGAGGACCUUCGCAUUCAGCCAGAUGUUGAACUCCUGGAGGGGUGCAAAUCUCCCAAGUUUGAAAUGUUUGAUGUCAUGAGAAAUCCCAAAGUCCAUUUGAGGACAUAUUGUGACAAACUGGUUGGAGUCGAAAAGAUGAGAAGAUCUGUAUGAAUCUCUUUAUGAGGAGUCUGGAAGGGGAUGCUUUAUCUUGGUAAAUCAGCCAGGACCGCAAGAAGUGGACAAGCUGGGUAGGUACGACAUCAGAUUUCAUGGAUAGGUUCCGAUUCAAUAAAUAGAAUCCAACGGAUGUAUUCACAUCUAGAAUUUGAAGAAGAAAUCUACCGAGACAUUCCACGAGUAUGCUACUCAUUAGAUUUAUGACUGCUAAGGUUAGGCCAGCCUUAGAAGAGAAACAGAUAAACAGGUUCUUCGUCCAGGCUCAGGAUCCACAAUAUUACGAGAGGUUGAUGCUGAUCAAGGGCCAGAAAUUUUCCGAUAUCAUCAAGCUGGGGAAAGAAUUGAGGAGGGCAUUAAGAAUGGUAUGGUUGCUAAUCUUGAAGCAUUGCAGGCGGCCAACAAUGCUUUGCAUUCUGGUGGCGCAUCCAAGAAGAAAGAUGUGAGUGUCGUGAUAGUCGCACAGAGGACAAAAUCCUUGAUAAAAUACCACACUUACCCAUCACCUCCACUUACAUAUCAGCCUUUCUCAAAUUACCAAGCACCCACACCCAAUUACCAAAAUCCACCACCCGUGAACCUGCACCUAUCUACCAAGAUUAUAAUGCCCAAGUCUCUCACUACCAAUCAUCUCUCACUCAUCAAAAUUUCCCUAGACCUAGACCAAACUUUGACCGUAGACCUCCCAGACAAUAUACAACCAUCACUGAACUAAAUGACCAGAUAUAUGAAAGACUUAAAGCUGCCGGUUAUGUCACCCGUAUCCGUGCCAUAACUCCAAAAAUCCUUGCCAGUGGGUCAACCCUAACAAGACCUGUGGGUACCUUUCGGGUAUGAAGGGACAUACCAUUGGCGAUUUCCGCUCAUGGAAGGACAAGAUUCAAACUCUGAUCGACAAUAAGGUCAUCGUAGUAAAGGAGCCUGCUCUUAAUGUUUGCAACAACCCUCUGCCUGAACACAAGGGUGGAGACAUUGACAUGAUCGAGAUCGAAGAUGACUGGGACCCUAAAGGGUCGAUUGGAUUGACUGUUGAGGGUGAUAAGGUGAAGAAUCCAGCAGUCACACUUAACUCGAUUGUUAUCCAGAACCAUCCCUCCGAGGGCGAUGAAGUAAACAUGUUUAUGCCACUCGAGUUUGAACUAACUUAUUCUGCAAAAGUACCCGGACCGAUUGAGGUUGAGUUUGGAGUUCCAAAAGAACCUACACCCUUUGAAGUUGUUGUGUUACAUCCAAGGGUACCUAUUCCUGUAGCAAUGACAAAUGUAACACUGUUAAACUCAAAUGCCAUACCAUGGGAUUACAUAGCUGAAGCUAGGAGGAAAGGGAAAACUAAAACUAGAGAAUCAAUUACCGUGCAUGAUAUGACCAGAACAAGCAGAGUUUACACACUAGAAAACCUAGCUGAGUCCAGUAUGCAAGCCUCUAGACGACCUAUUAAAACUGGGCCCGAUGAUCUUUGGAGAAAGAUACAUGCAGAAGAAUUUUGUUGAACAGUUGAACAAAAAAUCGACAUAGAUCUCCAUCCUAGCUUUUCUGCACAGCUCCGACACACACAAGAAGGCUUUGAUGAAGAUACUAAGUGAGUUAUAUGUUCCUAACAAUAUAACUGAAGGAGAAAUAGCGAACAUGGUAGGACAAGUGCUGGAGAGCCCCAAAAUCACCUUCCACGAAGAUGAGCUACCACCGCAAGGAUUGAGUCACAACAAGGCACUGCACAUUAUCGUGCAAUGCGAGGAUUACUUCAUUACUAGAGUCGUGAUUGACGGAGGCUCCUGCCUCAGCAUAUGUCAAUUGAUAACUCUCAGAACAUCGGGAAAAAGCCUGCACGAGAUUAAAUAUGGGCCCAUCAAUGUUAAAGCCUUCGAUGGGUCCCAAAGGUCCACUAUUGGGGAGAUAAGUUUAUGCCUACAGAUGGGACCAACUUGGUUCGAUGUUGAGUUCCAAGUGAUAGACGUCCCAGGAUCUUACAACUUGUUGUUAGGACAACUGUGGAUUCAUGUUGCCGGAGCUAUAGCAUCAACCAUGCACCAUGCAGUGAAGUUCGAGCGGAAUCACCAAGAGGUGAUUAUUCAUGACGAUGGUAGCAACCCCAUAUAUAGUCGCCAGACCAUCCCAAUGAUUGAAGAAAGAGGGAGAAUAGGUGGAGAAACCUACCAUCACAUUGACCGGGUCAACGUUGUGGACAAAGACAAAUGGUGGGACAACAAGAUUGAAAGUAUCCUGAAUUGGUUUGGAUUUGAGCCUAGAAAGGGUCUUGGCAAAAACCUCCAAGGAAUUGCCAAACCCAUGAAGCUGAAGAAAUAUGGUACCACCUUUGGAUUGGGGUAUUGAUACACUUGGAAAGAGUUCGAUGACUGGUCGCCACCAUGGCGCAGUCCUUACUAUCCGCUAGAGCAUCUGAUACCUCAUCUGAUGUAGACUUUUCGACCAAAAAAUGCUAUAUAUGGGCCAUAGGAAGAUGAAGCAUUGGCAGCCAUGAAGAAUUUGUUUCUGGAGGACGAUGAUAUGAACUGCUAUGUUAUUUUCAAGUAGGAAAGGGGAGGAAGACCCCUUCCAUACAAGCUGUGAGCCGAACUCGGCAAUUGGUCAAUCAGAACCACCAGGGCCCGGAAAGCUUCAGGGUAGCAAGGCUAAACAAAAGCAUCAUGCAUCACAUUUUACUUUCUACUAGCUGAUUAUUCCCAUAUCGUCUUUAGUUUUGAAGAGAGCUUCGAUGUUCAAAACAAUUAGGAAUUUAAUCAAAGCAUUUCAGUUUAUUAUAUAUCUUGCUAUUAUUAUUUUCUCUAUCAUUUAAUUUAGUUUAUACAACAUUACUAUUACUUAUUUUGAUGAUGGCCGACGGUUGUGACUUGGAACGAGACAACGCAACAAACAAAUAUAGGUUCAGAAGAGGAUGAUAUACCAGAAGAGGUCGUCGCAGAAAUUGAGGAUUUUGAAAAUAGAUCUAAGACAAACUUGGAGAAACUGAGGUCGUUAACUUGGGCGAUACAGAGAAUGUGAAAGAAAUACGCAUCAGUGUUCAUCUGUCACCAUCAGAAAAGGAAGAGUACAUGGAGUUUCUGAAGGAUUAUGAGGACAUAUUCGCCUGGUCGUAUGAUGAUAUGACUGGUCGCAGUAAAUCCAUUGUAGCUCACAAACUGCCAACAGAUCUAACAUGUCGGCUGGUAUAAUAGAAGCUCAGAAAAUUCAAACCCGACAUGAGUUUGAAAAUCAAAGAAGAGAUUACCAAGCAAGUCAAAGCCAAUGUUCCUAGGGUAGUAGAAUAUCCAACAUGGUUAGCCAGCAUCGUGCCAGUAUCACAAAAGGCAGAACCAGGCAUCUCAAACAUUGAUAAGGGAAGAAUCAGGCUUACCUAUUGAAUCAUGACUAUAUCCGCUAUUCUGAUAUUAAAAUUCGAUAGAGAUGAAAUUGGAGCAGUUGAUUUUUUUAAUUUCAUUUUUUUGUUUUGGAUUCCACAAGAAUUUGUCGAUAUUUUCGAUUAAAUCUUCUUGUUACAUUUUAAAAUUCUCCUUCUAAUUCAUCUUCCCUGGUGGAUUUAGGUUUAUUUUUGAGGUCCCACGAAGGUUCGACUAGUAGCACUCUGUCGUACGCCAAUUCGGGGGAUAUUACUAGCACUCAAGUUUUGAGUGAUAUCACCAGGUAAGAAGGGGUAGAGAAAAUGCCUCGAGCCAAUGUUCGAAUACCAGGCGCUACGGCGCUGAAGUAACCCAUGCCAUACUCCUAGGAAAAGCUCGAAGG